This 442-nucleotide ribosomal RNA is filed under the name uncultured bacterium. Its description in RNAcentral is "partial 16S ribosomal RNA". It matches the Rfam family "Bacterial small subunit ribosomal RNA", at positions 28 to 507 of the family's 1533-position model. The record is from RNAcentral.
GAUGAACGCUGGCGGCGUGCCUUAUACAUGCAAGUCGAGUGGGUUUAGACCCACGGCAAACGGGUGAGUAACACGUAGGUACUUUCCUUGUCACAGGAAUAACCCUCCGAAAGGAGGGCUAAUACCUGAUGUGAUCGCAAGAUUAAAGGGUAUCCGCAAGGAUUACCGGACAAGAAGAGGCCUGCGGCCUAUCAGCUAGUUGGCGGGGUAAAUGCCCACCAAGGCUAUGACGGGUAGCUGGUCUUAUGAGGAUGAUCAGUCACAUGGGCACUGAGACACGGGCCCAACUCCUACGGGAAGCAGCAGUAGGGAAUUUUGCGCAAUGGGCGAAAGCCUGACGCAGCGACGCGGCGUGCGGGAUGAAGGCCUUCGGGUCGUAAACCGCUUUUAUAAGGGACGAACUUUGACGGUACCUUAUGAAUAAGAGGUUGCUAACUCUGUG